Nilaparvata lugens (brown planthopper) is the source of this 464-nucleotide long non-coding RNA. RefSeq lists it as uncharacterized. NCBI's taxonomy places the organism in Eukaryota, Metazoa, Arthropoda, Insecta, Hemiptera, Delphacidae. The transcript is spliced from 3 exons. The record is from RefSeq and is a predicted model, not a curated record.
AAUAAUAAUAAUAAUAAUUAAGGUAAGUGUAACGUACAUUUGCAUUUUGCAACAGAAACAGCUUCUUAUAGAGUAUUGUUUUACAGGCUAAUCUUUUUUUAUGUAAUGUAUUCAAAUGUAAUUAUAAUUAGGAUUGGGAUAAUACAAAAAUAUACUUUUUGCUUAGUGAUAUCUAUUACAUUGUGACAGAAUUUGGUUUCUCAAUAAUUCUCAUCCUGAGUGCCAAACUGAUCAACUGCAUCCUAAUGGAACGUUCAAGAUGUGAUUCAGUAACUGAUACGGUUGUUGCAAUAAUUAUUUUUGACCAAAUUGAAUCCACAAAAUAAUUGAAGAAAUGGUUUCAGAUGAUUACGAACAAGCGCAGCUAUCUUUGGAGAGGUAAUGCACCUACUGAUAUCCCGUGAUAAGAACUUGGGAGAGAUUUAGUGAAAACCUGGAGAACGGCCACUUAGCUCACAAAUCUG